Molecule: long non-coding RNA, 238 nt
Filed under: Capsicum annuum
Lineage: Eukaryota; Viridiplantae; Streptophyta; Magnoliopsida; Solanales; Solanaceae
Description: long non-coding RNA (CANN_LNC001157)
Source: RNAcentral
CCAUUUAGACUUCAACUUACCUGUAAACAGCUUUAGUCUGGAGUUGAAAAGGAGUACCAAAUUGCCUUUCUGAAAGUUUCGUUGGAUAAUCCUUCGAUCAUGGUACUUUUUCAUCCUUUCCUUGUAAAGAUCUGCUCUUUCAUAUGCAUUUAGAUGAAAUUCAUCCAUCUUGUUCAGUUGCCCCAAUCUCAUAUUAAUAGCAUCAUCCCAGUUCAGGUUAAGAUUCUUCAGUGCCCAC